This 431-nucleotide ribosomal RNA is filed under the name Aspergillus niger. RNAcentral describes it as "SSU rRNA". It matches the Rfam family "Eukaryotic small subunit ribosomal RNA", at positions 579 to 1015 of the family's 1831-position model. The record is from RNAcentral. Lineage: Eukaryota; Fungi; Ascomycota; Eurotiomycetes; Eurotiales; Aspergillaceae.
GUAAUUCCAGCUCCAAUAGCGUAUAUUAAAGUUGUUGCAGUUAAAAAGCUCGUAGUUGAACCUUGGGUCUGGCUGGCCGGUCCGCCUCACCGCGAGUACUGGUCCGGCUGGACCUUUCCUUCUGGGGAAUCUCAUGGCCUUCACUGGCUGUGGGGGGAACCAGGACUUUUACUGUGAAAAAAUUAGAGUGUUCAAAGCAGGCCUUUGCUCGAAUACAUUAGCAUGGAAUAAUAGAAUAGGACGUGCGGUUCUAUUUUGUUGGUUUCUAGGACCGCCGUAAUGAUUAAUAUGGAUAGUCGGGGGCGUCAGUAUUCAGCUGUCAGAGGUGAAAUUCUUGGAUUUGCUGAAGACUAACUACUGCGAAAGCAUUCGCCAAGGAUGUUUUCAUUAAUCAGGGAACGAAAGUUAGGGGAUCGAAGACGAUCAGAUAC